GUGAAGCCCAGGGCAACCUCAAACUCAAGAGAACACCCUUGCUUCUAUCUCUUGACUGCUGGGAUUGCAGGUAUGAUCCACAUUUCAAAGAAAACGAAAGCUUUGUUAAGCCCAGUCCCCUUGCUUCAUCAUUGGCCCCAGAGUCCCUGCCAGGGAGUUCACGAAUGAAUGACAUAGCACAGUGGUACAGUACAGAGCUUGGCACUCAUUCGCUGUUAUGUUCAUUAAGUAUUAAUAAGUGAAGCUGUAUUAUAGUCUGGCCAUCAAGACCCUUCAUCAGAGGAUGCUCAAUAAGACGGGCUCAGGAGAAAGUGGGGCUGGCCAGGCUUGAGAAUCCCGCCUAAAGGUUCAAUCCUACCUCUGUUAUCAGGCAGCCAGAUAAUUAAUCUGUCAUCUCCCCAGUCUGACUUUCUUGUGGGACUAAAUAAAAAAGAGAAAAGUAGGAGGCCAGCUGCACAAGAGCAUUCAUCUUUCUGCCUCCUGACAGCAGCCACAGUGUGAUGAGAUGCCUCACUCUCUGGAUGCUGUGGAGCACUGUGCACUUCCAAACCCUGAACUAAAACAAGCCUGCCCUGCCUCAGGUCGCUUUUGCCAGAAAAUUAAUCAUAGCAAUGAGAACAGUAACUUAAUAGAAUUCUGAGAGCUUCUAUGUACAGCUUCCUUUUUCUCAAGAGUGGUUUGGAAUCUGAUUCACAUAAGGUGUCUUGUCUCUACAAGCAGUCUUCAGAGUUCUUCUCUGUGGCCCAAGAUCACUGAGACCUCUGAUCAUAUGCUUCUGCACAUGGCUGUUUAGUGCUGUGCGACAACUGUUCCCCAAAGCCUGGCCUCUCUCAAGAAGGAGUGGGAAUCACUUACACACAUAUGUACACGCUUACCACAUGCAUGUACACACAUGCACACAGGCAUUUCUUUUCAUACCAGGGGACCUUUGUCUCUGAGCUGAUGUCACUAAGUCCUCACAUCUAGGCUUGUCCUCACUUGGGAAGUGUGUCACAUCUGCCGUCACCAAGCUCAUCCAUGGGUCCUGUCACCCACUUGGAACUCUGGCAAGUUUGGCCGGCAGAGCACUUCCCACUGCUGCACAGCUGUAUUGGAUACACCCCUCUGUACUUGUGAAUAAAGUCACAGAGAUUCACUGCCACCGUUCUUCCUCUGGUUCUCUCUGGACAGAAAACUCCCAGAAAUCAGACUCACUUUCCUAUCACUGCUGCUAAUGAGUGAGUGCAUGAAAGUUGGUUCAUGUGGAUUAUAGAUGUUAAAACUGCCUCAGACUGGCCUCAGUCCACCCCUCAACCCGCAGGGAACCAGGGUCCCGGUGUUCAGGUGAGCAAGGAGUCAGGGAAAAGUGACAAACAGACACUGACACAGAGAGAGUGCUGUGUCUGAGUGUGAUUUCUCCAAGCGACCAUCAGACUUAUAGAAGAAAGCAAAGAAGUUAGGGGACACAUCAGCCAAGGUACAUUGAAGUUAUCUGACACCAAACAGAGAAAUGCAUACAUAAAGACUGGCAGGAACCAGGCAGUGGUUACAACUGAGAUGAAAGGCAGCCCUUUCUAAAGUCAGCCAUUGACAGGAGCCAGGUAAGGAUUUCACACC
Molecule: long non-coding RNA, 1596 nt
Filed under: Mus musculus (house mouse)
Lineage: Eukaryota; Metazoa; Chordata; Mammalia; Rodentia; Muridae
Description: long non-coding RNA chr1:191245294-191246890
Source: RNAcentral